This 264-nucleotide ribosomal RNA is filed under the name uncultured bacterium. Its description in RNAcentral is "partial 16S ribosomal RNA". It matches the Rfam family "Bacterial small subunit ribosomal RNA", at positions 793 to 1055 of the family's 1533-position model. The record is from RNAcentral.
GUCCACGCCGUAAACUAUGGAUGCUAGCCGUCGGCAAGCUUGCUUGUCGGUGGCGCAGCUAACGCUUUAAGCAUCCCGCCUGGGGAGUACGGCCGCAAGGUUAAAACUCAAAGGAAUUGACGGGGGCCCGCACAAGCGGUGGAGCAUGUGGUUUAAUUCGACGCAACGCGAAGAACCUUACCAGCUCUUGACAUGCCCGGACGGUUUCCAGAGAUGGAUUCCUCCUAGCAAUAGGUCGGGACACAGGUGCUGCAUGGCUGUCGU